GCAGGGGACCUUCGGGCCUUGCGCUAACAGAUGAGCCCAUGUCGGAUUAGCUAGUUGGUGGGGUAAAGGCCUACCAAGGCGACGAUCCGUAGCUGGUCUGAGAGGACGACCAGCCACACUGGGACUGAGACACGGCCCAGACUCCUGCGGGAGGCAGCAGUGGGGACCAGCAAUGCCGCG
RNAcentral lists this ribosomal RNA (180 nucleotides) under uncultured Beggiatoa sp. RNAcentral's name for it is "partial 16S ribosomal RNA". It matches the Rfam family "Bacterial small subunit ribosomal RNA", at positions 202 to 401 of the family's 1533-position model. The record is from RNAcentral. Lineage: Bacteria; Pseudomonadati; Pseudomonadota; Gammaproteobacteria; Thiotrichales; Thiotrichaceae.